Molecule: unclassified non-coding RNA, 341 nt
Filed under: soil metagenome
Description: partial contains 5.8S ribosomal RNA, internal transcribed spacer 2, and large subunit ribosomal RNA
Rfam family: 5.8S ribosomal RNA (bases 1-120)
Source: RNAcentral
GAUGAAGAACGCAUCGAAAUGCGAUAAGUAGUGUGAAUUGCAGAAUUCAGUGAAUCAUCGAAUCUUUGAACGCACAUUGCGCCCUUUGGUAUUCCAAAGGGCAUGCCUGUUCGAGCGUCAUUUGUACCCUCAAGCUUUGCUUGGUGUUGGGCGUCUUGUCUCUAGCUUUGCUGGAGACUCGCCUUAAAGUAAUUGGCAGCCGGCCUACUGGUUUCGGAGCGCAGCACAAGUCGCACUCUCUAUCAGCAAAGGUCUAGCAUCCAUUAAGCCUUUUUUUCAACUUUUGACCUCGGAUCAGGUAGGGAUACCCGCUGAACUUAAGCAUAUCAAUAAGCGGAGGA